RNAcentral lists this ribosomal RNA (253 nucleotides) under uncultured bacterium. RNAcentral describes it as "partial 16S ribosomal RNA". It matches the Rfam family "Bacterial small subunit ribosomal RNA", at positions 524 to 776 of the family's 1533-position model. The record is from RNAcentral.
UACAGAGGUCUCAAGCGUUGUUCGGAUUCAUUGGGCGUAAAGGGUGCGUAGGUGGCGCCGUAAGUCAGGUGUGAAAUUUCGGAGCUUAACUCCGAAACUGCAUUUGAUACUGCGGUGCUUGAGGACUGGAGAGGAGACUGGAAUUCACGGUGUAGCAGUGAAAUGCGUAGAUAUCGUGAGGAAGACCAGUGGCGAAGGCGGGUCUCUGGACAGUUCCUGACACUGAGGCACGAAGGUCAGGGGAGCAAACGGG